This 341-nucleotide transfer-messenger RNA is filed under the name Dehalococcoidia. Its description in RNAcentral is "CG2-30-46-19 sp001872925 Standard tmRNA". It matches the Rfam family "transfer-messenger RNA". Rfam says of the family: Bacterial tmRNA, also known as 10Sa RNA or SsrA, is named for its dual tRNA and mRNA-like properties. Its role is to liberate the mRNA from a stalled ribosome. The record is from RNAcentral. Lineage: Bacteria; Bacillati; Chloroflexota. RNAcentral also lists the same sequence under 2 other names.
GGGGGCGCGUGGAUUCGACAUGGGAUGGCCUACAGAAUUGCAAGCUGAGGUGCCAUUAACCUCACAAAACAAAUGGCAAAAAAUAAAUGCCGAACCUAUUGCAGCCUAAUUAAAGCUACACACCCACCCCAACCUCUCCUCGAAGGUCGGGACUGGGUGUCAAAAAGUCGAGGUGCUCCAAUCCCGAUGUCGAUAAGGAUUGGAUAAGAGAAAUCGACUGGCUUAACUGGAUUCGGUCAGCAGAUGAAAGUUAGGCGAGACAAAUGGAGCUGGCUAAGCUUGUAGGAUGUUCUGGCAACCCCCCUAUGGACGGGGAGUUCGACUCUCCCCCGCCUCCACCA